UAAUAAUUUAACCACGAUAUGAACCUAUGUGGGGAUAUCAUGUAAUAUGCAUUUACAUAAAAAUACACGGAACAUAAAUCGGAAAAUAUGCCCUUAUAUAAAACGAAAAAAAAACAACAAGAAACAUUAACAACACAUUACUGAAAAUGUUAUGCCGUUAAUGAAAAUAGUUCCAAGACUUCGCAGUAACUCCCAAAAUCAUAGUUCCCUAUCUAUUUUAAAAUUGACUGGCCAAUUAUUUACUAAAUUUUGCGGUCGUCUUUUAAAAUUGUAUGUAUAUUAUUGCUUUACGCGAUUUGAAUAUUACUACGCCAGCGGACGAUAAUAGCUAAAGUGCUUGUAUAAAUAAAAACUACAAAUUACAUGUAGUCAGAAGUUAAUUAAGUGUCAUAGAACUUAAUGCUCGAAUGACGAAUAAAAACUGCUUCGCGCAUGUCACGUGAUGGUGUGCCAUUUUGGUCCUUCCGAAUAAUCCAGGCGGGGAACAAUAGUUUUAUAUAAAUACAUAGCAAAUUGAAUCGUGUGACUGAAAAGAGAUCGGAAAAUGUUUUGCUCGUCUUUAACGGAUGUGUUUAGUAAAGUUUUUUGGUGAGAAUCAAUCAGUGAUUGUCCCCGAGCGCUCAAGAUUCGUGGUCGAGUGAUUUUCCAUGCACUUUACUGUUAGCUACAUUUGCGUGAAGUUUGUGAGAGGGAUGUGACGGAAACGAACGUAUGGGAGGUUUGGAAUUGUUUCUUUUAUUUUAGGACGUCGAAAAACUAAGUAUCAAUAAAAAAUGUAAGUUAUUUUAUAUUUUAUUAAAACUACAUAGCCGAAACGUAAUAUUAUUACACAUGAAAAUCGGGAAAGCGUCACUGUUUUUUUUUAAGGAAAAAAUGUAAAUAUUUCACAGAAAAUCCGGGAAAUGUUAUUUAUCACAUAUUUGUAAAUUAUCAAAUAUUUUUCGUGGGUACAAUUUGUUUGACACAAAGUUAAAUUUUCCAUGAAUAAGGACUUUAAUUAUAAAUUAGCGUUUAUCAUAAGAAUUAUACAUGUUAAACUUUUAAUUUUUCAUGUGACGUUUCGAUCAUAGUUAACGGUAUUUUUUACCAUUAUGAUCAUUAUUCAUAUUUACUUACCAUUGUAGCCAUCUAUACUAAAUUAAAGUGGUAGCAAAGGGCAGAUUACUGGUUUCAGCAGUGUAGGAGUUAAAUAUAAAUCGUAUGCAUAAUUACAUAAUGUUAAUUGGCUUAUGAUAUAAAACAAAAUACAGAUAUGAAUAAUUGAUAGUUGGCAUAUGAGAUCUAUCAAAGAAUUGACACGGAUGAUUGACGUGCGAUAUGUAAAAAUGACAAUGUUGUUAUUUAUGGUCAUGUUUAUGAGGACGUCCACGGGUGUAACAAUGAUGAUGAAAUGACGUCGUUCAAGGUAGUGAGCAAUCAUCAUUUAAAUCUAGUUAUUUAUAGAAACUAGCUUUUUGUAGAACUAGUUAUUUUUAGACAAAUGAGUUUUAACUUUUCAGCGUAAGUUUUAUCAGUUUCAGAAGAUGAAAUUUCAAAAGGAACCAAUGAACUUGCAAGUAAUCAUACUAUAUCGGACCAUGCUUGUGGUACAAGGACAGCACACAUUAUGCAACAUGUAAAGCAAGAAAUGGAGGGAAGAAUCCUAGCAGACGACAGUUGUCGCACAGAUGCAAUCAUGCACCAUAUCAGACUGCCGGCCUAGCUCUAUACUGGACUCGCUUUCAGCAGAGGAAAUCAUAACUUUGUAAUUGUAUCCACAGGUAGCAGACGACAAUAAAUUUUAAAGUGGAAAUUUUCGACCUCCGGUGUGUCUCCUACUCGAUUUUGUGAUCUCAGUUACUUCCCCUGACGUUCAGUAGAUGAGUUUCAGGAUUUGAAAUCAAGAAAGAACGAAAGAUAUGAAAUUAGCGCCGGCAAACUGAUCUUGGCAUGUUACAUCAUUAUCACAGAACUGGAACCUACUGAUUAAGAUGAGAAAUACGGAACAUGGUAAAUUGAGCAGGUGAAGGAAUAAAGAAAACACAACACUCUUUGCAGUCAGCAAAAUAACUAUGCUUCCGGUUUGGAACUAUUGCAUGCCGUUACAACAUAUGUGACAAAGAAAUUUCAAUCCACCUGAUACGAUUUGGUAUCUUUCUGAAAAUGUCAUGUUCAACUUCUGAAUGGUGUUUUUUCUGCCAAAUUUAAGAAAUGUAUUACCAUGUAACUGUCUAAUAUUUAUGGCAAUUAUGAAGUAAUGAGUUUUUGGCGUAGCAAUAAAAACCAUAAAAGAG
Molecule: long non-coding RNA, 2273 nt
Organism: Ruditapes philippinarum (Manila clam)
Lineage: Eukaryota; Metazoa; Mollusca; Bivalvia; Venerida; Veneridae
Exons: 5
Source: RefSeq, a predicted model, not a curated record